Molecule: ribosomal RNA, 771 nt
Filed under: uncultured Neocallimastigales
Lineage: Eukaryota; Fungi; Neocallimastigomycota; Neocallimastigomycetes; Neocallimastigales
Description: partial large subunit ribosomal RNA
Rfam family: Eukaryotic large subunit ribosomal RNA
Source: RNAcentral
UCAGACGAUGCGUCAUGCAUAUCAAUAAGCGGAGGAAAAGAAACUAACAAGGAUUCCCUCAGUAACGGCGAGUGAAGCGGGAAGAGCUCAAAUUUGAAAUCUUGAAAGGUCACCUUUCACGAAUUGUAGUUUAAAGAAGUGUUUUCUGUUACGAUCGUAAUAUAAGUUCUUUGGAAUAGGACAUCACAGAGGGUGGGAAUCCCGUAUUUGACCAUUAUUUUCAGCUUUGUGAUACACUUUCAAAGAGUCGGAUUGUUUGGGAAUGCAGUCCAAAAUGGGUGGUAAAUUUCAUCUAAAGCUAAAUAUUGGCGAGAGACCGAUAGCGAACAAGUACCGUGAGGGAAAGAUGAAAAGAACUUUGAAAAGAGAGUUAAAUAGUACGUGAAAUUGUCAAAAGGGAAGCGUUUAACACCAGUGUUGUUUUCUGAAAAUCAACCUCUGUUAGCUUUAUGCAUGUUUGUUUAGACCUAAUCAGCUAUCUUGCAUGUUCUAUUGUUUGCAGUGGUGCACUUUUCAGUUUACAGGUCAACAUCAGUUUUUUUUACCGUAAAAAAGUUAAAGAAAGGUAGCUCAUGGCUCCGGUCGUGAGUGUUAUAGUCUUUUUCCUAUGCGGUAGGAGAGACUGAGGUCUGCAGUGUAGGCUAUUUGGCUAGAUACUCAGGUGCUAUGUGAUACCAUUUCAUAAACAACUUGUUGAUUAUGUUUUGUCUAUUGCAUACUCGCUUGUACUAUCAUACCUACGCUUAGGAUGUUGACUGAUAUGUAGUCGUA